GACGAACGCUGGCGGCGUGCUUAACACAUGCAAGUCGAACGGAAAGGCCCUGCUUUUGUGGGGUGCUCGAGUGGCGAACGGGUGAGUAACACGUGAGUAACCUGCCCUUGACUUUGGGAUAACUUCAGGAAACUGGGGCUAAUACCGGAUAGGAGCUCCUGCUGCAUGGUGGGGGUUGGAAAGUUUCGGCGGUUGGGGAUGGACUCGCGGCUUAUCAGCUUGUUGGUGGGGUAGUGGCUUACCAAGGCUUUGACGGGUAGCCGGCCUGAGAGGGUGACCGGCCACAUUGGGACUGAGAUACGGCCCAGACUCCUACGGGAGGCAGCAGUGGGGAAUAUUGCACAAUGGGCGGAAGCCUGAUGCAGCAACGCCGCGUGCGGGAUGACGGCCUUCGGGUUGUAAACCGCUUUCGCCUGUGACGAAGCGUGAGGGACGGGAAUGGGUAAAGAAGCACCGGCGAACUACGG
RNAcentral lists this ribosomal RNA (467 nucleotides) under uncultured bacterium. RNAcentral's name for it is "partial 16S ribosomal RNA". It matches the Rfam family "Bacterial small subunit ribosomal RNA", at positions 28 to 506 of the family's 1533-position model. The record is from RNAcentral.